UAGCUCGGAUAUGUUGUAAACCAGCUGCACAAAACAAGACCGACCGUCAGGAGACCGAACUCACGGAAGCAAUAAUGAAAAUAAAGAAGAGAGAAACUCACCCGGAUCAUCAUCGGGUAGAAUGAAGACAGCAUGUCAGAGACACGCUGAUUCUUCAUCGCCUCGAUGUCGGCUGGGAGAAGGAGCGCCUGGCACAGCCUCCUGGCCAAGUCGUGGUUGGCAAGGCCCGACGCACUUUUGGGGAAUGGGAAGUCGGUCGACACCCCAUCACCGGCCGACCUUCCUUCGUCGCCC
This 294-nucleotide long non-coding RNA is filed under the name Elaeis guineensis (African oil palm). RNAcentral describes it as "long non-coding RNA (EGUI_LNC035256)". Lineage: Eukaryota; Viridiplantae; Streptophyta; Magnoliopsida; Arecales; Arecaceae. The record is from RNAcentral.